This 220-nucleotide long non-coding RNA is filed under the name Elaeis guineensis (African oil palm). RNAcentral's name for it is "long non-coding RNA (EGUI_LNC003263)". The record is from RNAcentral. Lineage: Eukaryota; Viridiplantae; Streptophyta; Magnoliopsida; Arecales; Arecaceae.
CCCUCACAUUCCAAAGUAGCACCUUCAUUGCAUAUCAGAACAGAAAGCUGUAGGGCCCCGGAUCAAGAUUGCCGAAGCCCCACCAUCAUCCACAGAUCCUACCGCAUCAUUCUUCGAGGUAGAUAGGUCGUGGCCUCCUUCCAAGGCCUACUUCAGGCAGCCCACUUUGUCCUCAUGACGUACCACAGAAGCUUCAACCAAGCACUCCAUCUCCAAAUUG